UGGGGAAUAUUGCACAAUGGGCGAAAGCCUGAUGCAGCGACGCCGCGUGCGGGAUGAAGGCCUUCGGGUUGUAAACCGCUUUUAAUUGGGAGCAAGCGAGAGUGAGUGUACCUUUUGAAUAAGCACCGGCUAACUACGUGCCAGCAGCCGCGGUAAUACGUAGGGUGCAAGCGUUAUCCGGAAUUAUUGGGCGUAAAGAGCUCGUAGGCGGUUUGUCACGCCUGGUGUGAAAGUCCAUCGCUUAACGGUGGAUCUGCGCCGGGUACGGGCAGGCU
This 275-nucleotide ribosomal RNA is filed under the name uncultured bacterium. Its description in RNAcentral is "partial 16S ribosomal RNA". It matches the Rfam family "Bacterial small subunit ribosomal RNA", at positions 355 to 642 of the family's 1533-position model. The record is from RNAcentral.